This 840-nucleotide ribosomal RNA is filed under the name Ascomycota sp. BR307. Its description in RNAcentral is "eukaryotic LSU rRNA". It matches the Rfam family "Eukaryotic large subunit ribosomal RNA", at positions 74 to 944 of the family's 3401-position model. The record is from RNAcentral. Lineage: Eukaryota; Fungi; Ascomycota.
AUUGCCCUAGUAACGGCGAGUGAAGCGGCAACAGCUCAAAUUUGAAAUCUGGCUUCGGCCCGAGUUGUAAUUUGCAGAGGAUGUUUCUGGCGCGGUGCCUUCCGAGUUCCCUGGAACGGGACGCCACAGAGGGUGAGAGCCCCGUAUGGUUGGACACUAAGCCUGUGUGAAACUCCUUCGACGAGUCGAGUAGUUUGGGAAUGCUGCUCAAAAUGGGAGGUAAAUCUCUUCUAAAGCUAAAUACCGGCCAGAGACCGAUAGCGCACAAGUAGAGUGAUCGAAAGAUGAAAAGCACCUUGAAAAGGGGGUUAAACAGUACGUGAAAUUGUUGAAAGGGAAGCACUUGUGACCAGACUUGUGCCGUGCGGCUCAUCCGGGGUUCUCCCCGGUGCACUCCGCGCGGUAUAGGCCAGCAUCGGUUCUUUCUGGGGCAUAAGAACAGCAGGAACGUGGCCCUCCUUCGGGAGGGUGUUAUAGCCUGUUGUACGAUACCCUGGAGGGGACCGAGGUUCGCGCUCCGCAAGGAUGCUGGCGUAAUGGUUACCAGUGACCCGUCUUGAAACACGGACCAAGGAGUCGUCCAUUAGAGCGAGCGUUUGGGUGUAAAACCCGCACGCGUAAUGAAAGUGAAAUUAGGUGAGAGCUUCGGCGCAUCAUCGACCGAUCCUGAUGUUCUCGGAUGGAUUUGAGUAAGAGUUUUAACGGACGGACCCGAAAGACAGUGAACUAUGCUUGUAUAGGGUGAAGCCAGAGGAAACUCUGGUGGAGGCUCGCAGCGGUUCUGACGUGCAAAUCGAUCGUCAAAUAUGAGCAUGGGGGCGAAAGACUAAUCAANCUUUA